GAUGAACGCUGGCGGCGUGCCUAAUACAUGCAAGUCGAGCGGACGGACGAGAAGCUUGCUGCUCUGACGUUAGCGGCGGACGGGUGAGUAACAUGUGGAUAACCCACCUAUAAUUGUGGGAUAAUCUCGGGAAACCGGCUCUUAUAGCGGAUAAUCUUUUGCACCGCAUGGUUCAUAAGUGAAAUACGGUGUUUGCGGCGGUUAUGGAUGGAUUCGCGCUGCAUUAGGUAGUUGGUAAGGUAACGGCUUACGAAGGCUAUGAUGCGUAGCAGGCCUGCGAGGGUGACCGGCCACAUUGGGACUGAGAUACGGCCAAGACUCCUACGGGAGGCAGCAGUGGGGAAUAUUGCACAAUGGGCGGAAGCCUGAUGCAGAAACGCCGCGUGCGGGAUGACGGCCUUCGGGUUGUAAACCGAUUUCGCCUGUGACGAAGCGUGAGUGACGGUAAUGGGUAAAGAAGCACCGGCUAACUACGUG
Molecule: ribosomal RNA, 477 nt
Filed under: uncultured bacterium
Lineage: Bacteria
Description: partial 16S ribosomal RNA
Rfam family: Bacterial small subunit ribosomal RNA
Source: RNAcentral